Molecule: ribosomal RNA, 253 nt
Filed under: uncultured bacterium
Lineage: Bacteria
Description: partial 16S ribosomal RNA
Rfam family: Bacterial small subunit ribosomal RNA
Source: RNAcentral
GACGGGGGAUGCAAGCGUUAUCCGGAAUCACUCGGCGUAACGCGUCUGUAGGUGGUGAUGCAAGUCACUGGUGCAAAACUCUGGCUCAACCGGAGGAAAGCCAGUGAAACUGCAUGACUAGAGUGUGGGAGAGGUAGAAGGAAUUCCCUGAGUAGCGGUGAAAUGCGUAGAUACAGGGAAGAACACCGGAGGCGAAAGCGUUCUACUGGAACACAACUGACACUGACAGACGAAAGCUAGGGGAGCGAAUGGG